Molecule: long non-coding RNA, 826 nt
Organism: Falco peregrinus (peregrine falcon)
Lineage: Eukaryota; Metazoa; Chordata; Aves; Falconiformes; Falconidae
Exons: 3
Source: RefSeq, a predicted model, not a curated record
CUGAGCAAGGCAGACUGUCUUCACUGUUCCCUCUGUCCCUGUGGAUUUGAUCAAGAUGCAUGUUUAGGUCCAGGUUAAAAAAAAAAAAGGGAAGAGGUACAGUGGGAUCACAGCUGUGGUAUUUGCAGCAGUUUGUCCUUCCUCAGAAGUUCGCCAAGAGUUACUCAUGGAGAUGGCAAAAGUUACCAUGAAAAAUCAACUUCAAACCAUUGAGGACCUGUAACCUUGCAAGUCCCUUGAUAUGAAAAUGCAGAAAGAUGGCUUGGUACACCAGAGAAAAUGCAAGUGGCACAUAACUCACUUUUUGCACCCCAUAUCAAGAUACAGAAAUCAUGCGACAGAUCACAUUUUAUAUAGCUUUUAUCUGAAGAACCCCAGAGGGUUUGCCGGCAUUUCAUUCAAAACAUUUGAGAACUUUGCAUGCUGCAGAUGUUUGACUAACAGGGAAAUAGUUGCUUGGAUGACCAGUUCUGCCUUCUAAAUGCAAAUGACCAACCUGCCUCAUUUUAAGACUAGAAGCAAAAGAUGACACAUAUUACAAAUUUCUGUUUUCAGAACAGGACACUAAGGUAUUGAGAUACUUUGGAAUUUGGAGCCGUACACUGUGGGGUUCCCAGCAGGUUGUGAAACUCUUUACCUUCUGCCUCCUGCACACGGUUCUCUGCACACCCGUGCACCAGUGGCUGCCGUGGGUUUGCCAGUUAGCACGUGAACCUGCCACACACCCUCACUGAAAACUGGAAAAGAAAGGGUGGGGGUUUUCUACAUUACCUUUAAUGUCUGUCUCAUUUUCACUGCAAUGUAGUCCCACUUUUUGCCUUUUUUA